This 268-nucleotide long non-coding RNA is filed under the name Helianthus annuus (common sunflower). Its description in RNAcentral is "sRNA HanXRQr2_Chr01g0022061". Lineage: Eukaryota; Viridiplantae; Streptophyta; Magnoliopsida; Asterales; Asteraceae. The record is from RNAcentral.
UAGCUUCAAGAAAUCAAGAAUCAAAGCCAAAUACAUAAGAUAAUCCGGUGCAUGAACCCUCCUUGCGAAAAUCUAACCCUAAUUUGCGUGAAGGAGGAAGGUUCCAAUACUAGGAAAUUGGAAGGUUCACAAGAUCGAGGUAAAACACCUCUAUAGGCGAUUUGGAGAUAUGGAGCGAGCACGUAUUCAAGCCUUAUUAUACCAAGCGCUUCCGCUAGUUUAUAUGCAUACUUUUGGGUUCACGUUUUGUUACUUUGAUUAAAUCUUG